RNAcentral lists this ribosomal RNA (253 nucleotides) under uncultured bacterium. Its description in RNAcentral is "partial 16S ribosomal RNA". It matches the Rfam family "Bacterial small subunit ribosomal RNA", at positions 524 to 776 of the family's 1533-position model. The record is from RNAcentral.
UACGUAGGUGGCAAGCGUUGUCCGGAAUUAUUGGGCGUAAAGCGCGCGCAGGUGGUUUCUUAAGUCUGAUGUGAAAGCCCACGGCUCAGCCGUGGAGGGUCAUUGGAAACUGGGGAACUUGAGUGCAGAAGAGGAAAGUGGAAUUCCAAGUGUAGCGGUGAAAUGCGUAGAGAUUUGGAGGAACACCAGUGGCGAAGGCGGCAUCCUGGACCGACACUGACACUGAGGAGCGAAAGCCAGGGGAGCAAACGGG